GUACCGUGAGGGAAAGUUGCAAAGCACUUUGAAGAGAGAGUUAAAGAGGACGUGAAACCGGUGAGGUGGAAACGGACAGAGCUGGCGUAUCUGGCCUGCAUUCAGCCUUGGGCUCUCUGACGCUAUGGUGAUGAUCUCCAGAUUGGGACAUUGCUGUUUCUGUUGGGGGAUUCAUGGUGCAUUUGUAGGUGGAGUGCGCUGAGGCGCUUGAGGCAGCGGCAUGAUUUUGGCUCUGAGGCUAGCCUCGCAAGAGGUCUGGUACCCGUGCCAGAGGAGUGCUGUUUGCUUUGGGUGUUUAAUUGGGCAAUGGAAUCGGGCUUGAGUGGGCGCCGAGCUGGGGGUCGGUGGCGGUCGCGUGCGACACGUGCCUGCAGUCAGUUCGGUCCUGCUUGAGCUCUCAUCAGCCCGUCCUCGGUGUAAAAGCCGGUCAUCUGUCCGACCCGUCUUGAAACACGGACCAAGGAGUUUAGCGUGUGCGCGAGUCAUUGGGCGUUGAAAACCCAAAGGCGUAAUGAAAGUAAAGGUGUCCCUUGUGGAGCUGAUGUGUGAUCCUGGUCACUGCGGUGCAUCCGGGCGCAACAUAGUCCCGUCCUGAUCGCUUGCGAUGGGGCGGAGACAGAGC
Molecule: ribosomal RNA, 622 nt
Filed under: Hoplolaimus galeatus
Lineage: Eukaryota; Metazoa; Nematoda; Chromadorea; Rhabditida; Hoplolaimidae
Also listed under: 1 other name
Description: eukaryotic LSU rRNA
Rfam family: Eukaryotic large subunit ribosomal RNA
Source: RNAcentral